Brassica napus (rape) is the source of this 1720-nucleotide long non-coding RNA. RefSeq lists it as uncharacterized. Lineage: Eukaryota; Viridiplantae; Streptophyta; Magnoliopsida; Brassicales; Brassicaceae. The transcript has 2 exons. The record is from RefSeq and is a predicted model, not a curated record.
GGAGCGUUGGUGUUCUUUGGUUGUUGGUCUAAGGCGAUCAGAAGUAUUCUGAGAACCUCAGAUCAACCAUCGAGGAACAUCAACCGUGUCAUUUCCGGUCAACUACGAUCGGGGGUGUCACAAACAUUAUCAGCCCAAAUAAAUGUAAGACAAAGCCCAGUUGAAAACCAUAAAAAUCCAAAUAUAACAAACGUAAAUAACACAAAACGCAAGUCCAGUUGGUGGAUUCAGAUUCUGUAGCGAACAAAGCCCAUCAGAUUUUAAUAAAAUGAAGUGAUGCGUUUUAGUUAAGCGGUACACGUGUCAUGACCAGAAGACUUGAAUUUCUGACCUGUCUGCUGAGGUGGACAGCCUAAGAGUGAAACAAAGUGUACUUUAUAUAAUUAGAUAUAUAUGAAUCUUACUCCCAAUGUUUUCUAAAACAUAUAAGUUGGCGUUCUAUGACACACUGCUUAUUUGUUCUAAAAAAUUGAAUUCAAAAUUUUUUUUGUUUAUUAUUAUUAUUAUUAUUUUUUUAUUUUGUUUUGUCCCUUCCAAAAAAUGAUGAAAAUGUUGAAAAUUAAACUUUUUUUUUAAUAAAGAUGCUGAUGACGACAACGACAUUGAUGAUGAUAUGUGGAAAUGAUCAAUAUAUAAUCUGAAAGAAAAUAAAAACUGUUAAGGAUAUAUUGAUUUCUAUGUGGACUAAAAAUAAAUUAACAUAGAAAAAAAUUAACCCCUUUGACUAAAAAUAAAGAAUACAACUGUCAAUUACAUUCAACAUAUGUUAUUUAUAGUCAACAACUGUUAAUUACAUUCAACAUUUGUUAGUUACAUUCAACAACAGUUAUCUCUUAUUAGUUUGAAUGGUUAGUUGUAUAAACAUUAACCCAUUUGACUAAAAAUAAAGAAUACAACUGUCAAUUACAUUCAACAUAUGUUAUUUAUAAUCAACAAAUGUUAAUUACAUUCAACAUUUGUUAGUUACAUUCAACAGAUGUUGUUACAUACAACAACAAUUAUUUUUUAUUGGUUCGAAUGGUUAGUUGGAUAAACAUUAACCCCUUUGACUAUAAAUAAAGAAUACAACUGUCAAUUAUAGUAAACAUAUGUUAUUCAUAGUCAACAACUGUUAAUUACAUUCAACAUUUGUUAGUUACAUUCAACAGAUGUUGUUACAUGCAACAACAGUUAUCUCUUCUUGGUUUGAAUGCUUAGUUGGAUAUAGAUGACCCACGAAAAAUAAAUAUAAAAUAUACAUGGUUACUAAUAAAUUAAAACAUAAAUUAUAAUAAAUUUCCAUUAAUAACAUCAAAAGUUUUCUACUAUAAAUUAGUCUAUGGUGUCAAUUCAAUAACUCAAAAACUUUUGUUGUAAACAUUUUUGUGAAUCCAAAGAAGAAAAAAAACCAUGAAGGCCUCAAUUUUCUUCAUCGUUGCAUUGCUUAUUCUCUCAUGUUCAUCAUCAAUGAUAAUGGGAAACUCUCACGAAGACCAUUGCCAUGACUAUCAAGAUUGUGAAAUAUGGUGCAAACAAUAUGUUCCUGAACCUAAAUGUAUUAACCACAUUUGCAAUUGUAGACCUCCACCUUUGACCUCUCGAAGGGCUCUCAAUAUAUUUUGAUUCUUCCAUCUGGAUUAUCGAAUAUGAUGAUGACUUUCUACAUGCAAGCAUCAAAAUAAAUAUUUUUCUAUUGUUUUACUUCAGUAUGUGGUAAUAAAAUAAUAUUUUUAUUUUUUAA